This is a non-coding RNA of Phrynosoma platyrhinos (Desert horned lizard), 72 nucleotides long. The record is from the annotation of a GenBank genome assembly. Lineage: Eukaryota; Metazoa; Chordata; Lepidosauria; Squamata; Phrynosomatidae.
GCCAGUGUGGUGUAGUGGUUUGAGUGUUGGAGCACAGCUCUGGAGACUAGGGUUCGAAUCCCUACUCUUCCA